UACGAAGGGGGCUAGCGUUGCUCGGAAUCACUGGGCGUAAAGCGCACGUAGGCGGAUUGCUAAGUCAGGGGUGAAAUCCUGGAGCUCAACUCCAGAACUGCCUUUGAUACUGGCGAUCUUGAGUCCGGGAGAGGUGAGUGGAACUCCGAGUGUAGAGGUGAAAUUCGUAGAUAUUCGCAAGAACACCAGUGGCGAAGGCGGCUCACUGGCCCGGUACUGACGCUGAGGUGCGAAAGCGUGGGAGCAAACAGG
RNAcentral lists this ribosomal RNA (252 nucleotides) under uncultured bacterium. Its description in RNAcentral is "partial 16S ribosomal RNA". It matches the Rfam family "Bacterial small subunit ribosomal RNA", at positions 524 to 776 of the family's 1533-position model. The record is from RNAcentral.